RNAcentral lists this ribosomal RNA (358 nucleotides) under uncultured bacterium. Its description in RNAcentral is "partial 16S ribosomal RNA". It matches the Rfam family "Bacterial small subunit ribosomal RNA", at positions 355 to 730 of the family's 1533-position model. The record is from RNAcentral.
UGGGGGAUAUUGCACAAUGGGGGAAACCCUGAUGCAGCAACGCCGCGUGAAGGAAGAAGGUCUUCGGAUUGUAAACUUCUGUCUUUAGUGACGAUAAUGACGGUAGCUAAAGAGGAAGCUCCGGCUAACUACGUGCCAGCAGCCGCGGUAAUACGUAGGGAGCAAGCGUUGUCCGGAUUUACUGGGUGUAAAGGGUGCGUAGGCGGUUCUGCAAGUCAGUUGUGAAAACUAUGGGCUUAACCCAUAGCCUGCAAUUGAAACUGUGGGACUUGAGUGAAGUAGAGGUAGGUGGAAUUCCCGGUGUAGCGGUGAAAUGCGUAGAGAUCGGGAGGAACACCAGUGGCGAAGGCGGCCUACU